This is a non-coding RNA of Ameiurus melas (black bullhead), 72 nucleotides long. The record is from the annotation of a GenBank genome assembly. Lineage: Eukaryota; Metazoa; Chordata; Actinopteri; Siluriformes; Ictaluridae.
ACCUUGGUGGACUAGUGGCUAGUAUGUGGUGCUGUCACCACUGUGGCCCUGGUUCGAUUCCCAGUCAGGGAA